GCUACCUUGAAAAAUAAUCGAGACGUCCGCGUCGCACGACGUGUCGUGCCUUGACGCCGGAACCCCCUUUGGGUCCACCGUGGAUGCAUGCCUGGACCACCGGGCAGCCUCGUCAGACGUACGGUACGGGGCCCUCCCGUACUAGGCAUGAACGUGUCCACGCCACCCGAAAAGAAAAAAAUCAGCGAUUCCCUCAAAACGGAACCAGUCUUUACAUAUUUAUUAAUCUGUGACCGGUGGUCGAUUCUGGUGGGUUUUGUGAUUUGUUGAAAGGUUUGGAUACAUCGGCGAGCCACCGAUGACUGCGUGCGAUCAAUCAAAUUGUUUUUGGCUCAUCGCAGUUGAGAAGCUGGAGCUCUGUUUACCCGCUAGCUAGUGUAUUGAGAUCGAUGGCGAAAUGUGGGCGGCCUCGUUUGGACUUUUCGAAAAGAAGACAACACGUACACACGCACGCACGUACGUAUACUCGAACCCCAAAGGUAUGUUUCGUUCCUCCGAAUAUCCGGGGUCUACAGACAUAGAUAGAUGUGCAUAGGCAAAGUCAUUCUUGUUCGAGGAGUAGCGAACACACGAAGAAGACGUGAUUAAUUAGCACCAUCUUUAGCAUUAGGGCAUCUCUAAUAGGAGGUACUAAGGAGAUACUACUCUUAUGCGAAGGAGAGAGAGCUGCAAAAAGAUAGUACUAGUUACUUACAAAAAUAACAGUUUGUGUACGGGUAACAAGAAUGAAUAGAGCAUGACACGUGGAUCCACCUGGAAAAAAAAGAAAAUAAAAAAAAAGAUAAAGGAGAGAGAAGGCAUGAGAUGAAAAUUAGUACCGGCUUCUUGUUGAAGAUGCCCUUAGGAGUAGUACUCCCUCCGUCCCAUAAUAUGAAGCACGCAUGCAUCCCUAAAUUUUCAAUUUCAUUAAUUAAAUAUGUAUGUGUUUUUUUAAAAUACACCAUUAGAUUCGUCAUCGAAAGAACUUUUAAGUGAUAUAAUUAUUUCAUUUAUAUUUAGUUAGCUAAAUUAACAAUUUAUCUCAUAAUAUGUUAUGGGGCUGAUAGGCACCAUCCAAAACGCAGCCACCACAGACGUCCUUCUUCUGUUUUCUCGGGUCGGCGGCGGUCGGUGGGGCUGGAUGCGAUGCGAGGGGGAAGCAGAAGCGGACGAGAAAUCGCACAUGACGGUGGGGUCGCGCUCCCGGUUGAUCCAUUCCGAUUUGAUUCUCGUCGAGGGGAAAAUGAGGAAGGUUUUUUUUUUGGCAGCCAAGGACCACAUGCACCGGGAUGACAACACUAUCUACCGAAAAUGAGGGGAAUAUAUAGUCUAGUGGAAAGUAGAGAAAUGCAGAGGAGAAAUUACUUUUUUUUCCCCGGAGAUUAUUGUGUGCACCCGUGUUCUACACUAAUUCCUGCAAGGCUGCAAUGAAAUGGACAUGGGGCUUUCAUUGGACGCUUGGUUGACAACACUUAUUAAGUCCCCCGCAAAAAAAAAAAAGACAACACUUAUUAAGUCUGCGUAUAUACGAAACCACUGUCAGACUAGGUUGUCUUGAGAUGUUACUACCGUAAGACAUGGCCGACUUUGUAGCGUUGUGCUAUCACUUGCAAAUUGCAUCUGACAGGGG
This 1609-nucleotide long non-coding RNA is filed under the name Brachypodium distachyon (stiff brome). Its description in RNAcentral is "long non-coding RNA (BDIS_LNC000337)". Lineage: Eukaryota; Viridiplantae; Streptophyta; Magnoliopsida; Poales; Poaceae. The record is from RNAcentral.